This 429-nucleotide ribosomal RNA is filed under the name Actinomycetes bacterium. Its description in RNAcentral is "Actinobacteria bacterium partial 16S ribosomal RNA". It matches the Rfam family "Bacterial small subunit ribosomal RNA", at positions 355 to 776 of the family's 1533-position model. Lineage: Bacteria; Bacillati; Actinomycetota; Actinomycetes. The record is from RNAcentral.
UAGGGAAUCUUCCGCAAUGGGCGAAAGCUUGACGGAGCAACGCCGCGUGAGUGAUGAAGGUCUUCGCAUCGUAAAACUCUGUUAUUAGGGAAGAACAAAUGUGUAAGUAACUAUGCACGUCUUGACGGUACCUAAUCAGAAAGCCACGGCUAACUACGUGCCAGCAGCCGCGGUAAUACGUAGGUGGCAAGCGUUAUCCGGAAUUAUUGGGCGUAAAGCGCGCGUAGGCGGUUUUUUAAGUCUGAUGUGAAAGCCCACGGCUCAACCGUGGAGGGUCAUUGGAAACUGGAAAACUUGAGUGCAGAAGAGGAAAGUGGAAUUCCAUGUGUAGCGGUGAAAUGCGCAGAGAUAUGGAGGAACACCAGUGGCGAAGGCGACUUUCUGGUCUGUAACUGACGCUGAUGUGCGAAAGCGUGGGGAUCAAACAGG